CGGCGGGCCUAACACAUGCAAGUCGAACGAGAAUGAGGGGGCAACUCCUCUAGUAAAGUGGCGGACGGGUGCGUAACACGUAGGUAAUUUACCUUCCGGCGGGGGACAACAGUCCGAAAGGAUUGCUAAUACCGCAUACGUCGGCGAGAUCUCCGGAUCUUGUCGGGAAAGAUGGCCUCUCCUUGGAAGCUGUCACCGGAAGAUGAACCUGCGGCCCAUCAGCUUGUUGGUGAGGUAACGGCUCACCAAGGCGAAGACGGGUAGCUGGUCUGAGAGGAUGAUCAGCCACACUGGGACUGCGACACGGCCCAGACUCCUACGGGAGGCAGCAGUGGGGAAUAUUGGGCAAUGGGCGAAAGCCUGACCCAGCCACGCCGCGUGAGUGAUGAAGGCCUUCGGGUCGUAAAGCUCUGUGGGGAGGGACGAAUAAGUCCGGUGCUAAUAUCACCGGGCCCUGACGGUACCUCCUUAGCAAGCACCGGCUAACCAUGUGCCAGCAGCCGCGGUAAUACAUGGGGUGCAAACGUUGCUCGGAAUUAUUGGGCGUAAAGCGCACGUAGGCGGUCCGUUAAGUCGAAUGUGAAAUCCCCCGGCUCAACCGGGGAAGUGCAUCCGAAACUGGCGGGCUAGAGUACGAAAGAGGGUCGCGGAAUUCCCGGUGUAGAGGUGAAAUUCGUAGAUAUCGGGAGGAACACCGGUGGCGAAGGCGGCGACCUGGGUCGAUACUGACGCUGAGGUGCGAAAGCG
RNAcentral lists this ribosomal RNA (747 nucleotides) under uncultured soil bacterium. Its description in RNAcentral is "bacterial SSU rRNA". It matches the Rfam family "Bacterial small subunit ribosomal RNA", at positions 40 to 761 of the family's 1533-position model. The record is from RNAcentral.